This is a long non-coding RNA of Biomphalaria glabrata, 943 nucleotides long. RefSeq lists it as uncharacterized. Lineage: Eukaryota; Metazoa; Mollusca; Gastropoda; Planorbidae. The record is from RefSeq and is a predicted model, not a curated record. The transcript is spliced from 3 exons.
AACAGGGGCCCCACGGAAAUGCUAUAAAGACCAGCUAAGGCGCCAAUUUGCUCUAACUGACAUAGGAGAGAGCACCUGGCAGCAGGCGGCUUUGGAAGAAGACAGUUGGAGAUCACUUACAAAGGCCGCAAAAUAUGCAUUUGAGACCAAAAGAAAAUCCACCGGUGGACAAUGAUUAUCUUAGCGCUGGUUCUGGCAAAAUAUUUAUGUCGCAGCAGGGGCUGUGUAACCACGUAAAAUAAUGCACUCCUGAUUCAUCUUGGGACUUGAAUACAGGUCUUUUAUUUCAUUAAGCAAGACUUGCUGUUAUUGUAGGAUUGGUUAAGAACAUUUACUUAGUGAUAUUUGUAUUCCGUCGAGUAAAGAGAAAUGUUUGUCAAAUGUUGUACAUGUUUCGGAUGUUCCUUCAGAGUUGAAGAUAAUUUACUUCCUAGUCCAAACCUCACCGCAGGACGACGGACAGGGUUGAACCAGGGACUAUCGAUACGUCCGCAUGAUCAGGCAGCCACCCAAAUGUAGCAAAACCUUUUUACAAUACUUCUAUUCAAGUCACUCCUUCAUGGAACUUGGAUCCAGGAACCUGGACAGCUGAUCUCAAAAUCUACUCUAAGGAUUUUCAUAGAAAUUGAACAGUUGAUGUAUAUCGCGGAGAAAAGAAUUAAAAGCUGGCUGGUUUUGAAAGGACUAUCGCGUUCUUGAAAGGACUAUAGUGUUCGGAAAUUUCCGAAUCAAUUGAGAGAAGUAGUGAUAGAUGAGUCAGUCAAUCAAUUAGUGAUAGGUGAGUCAGUCAAUCAAUUAAUGAUAGGUGAGUCAGUCAACCAAUUAGUGGUAGGUGAGUCAGUCAAUCAAUUAGUGAUAGGUGAGUCAGUCAAUCAAUUAGUGAUAGGUGAGUCAGUCAAUCAAUUAGUGAAAGGUGAGUCAGUCAAUCAAUUAGUGAAAGGUG